GGUGGUGUAGCUUAGUGAUAGAGUACUUGCCUUUUAUGAGCAAGACCCUGAGUUCAAUCCCCAGUACUACAA
Molecule: transfer RNA, 72 nt
Filed under: Marmota monax (woodchuck)
Lineage: Eukaryota; Metazoa; Chordata; Mammalia; Rodentia; Sciuridae
Rfam family: tRNA
About the family: Transfer RNA (tRNA) molecules are approximately 80 nucleotides in length. Their secondary structure includes four short double-helical elements and three loops (D, anti-codon, and T loops).
Source: Rfam by way of RNAcentral